This 720-nucleotide ribosomal RNA is filed under the name uncultured bacterium. Its description in RNAcentral is "bacterial SSU rRNA". It matches the Rfam family "Bacterial small subunit ribosomal RNA", at positions 412 to 1120 of the family's 1533-position model. The record is from RNAcentral.
AGGCCUUCGGGUUGUAAACCCCUGUCMGGUAGGACGAAAACCUGAGGGUGAAGAGCUCUCAGGGAUGACGGUACUACCAGAGGAAGCCCCGGCUAACUCCGUGCCAGCAGCCGCGGUAAUACGGAGGGGGCAAGCGUUGUUCGGAAUUAUUGGGCGUAAAGGGCGCGUAGGCGGUGGAGUAAGUCAAACGUGAAAGCCCUCGGCUUAACCGAGGAAUGGCGUUUGAAACUGCUUCACUUGAGGGCGGGAGAGGAGAGUGGAAUUCCCAGUGUAGCGGUGAAAUGCGUAGAUAUUGGGGAGAACACCGGUGGCGAAGGCGGCUCUCUGGACCGCACCUGACGCUGAGGCGCGAAAGCUAGGGGAGCAAACGGGAUUAGAUACCCCSGUAGUCCUAGCCCUAAACGAUGGGUACUUGGUGUGGGGGGUGAUGAAGUCCCUCCGUGCCGGCGAUAACUCGUUAAGUACCCCGCCUGGGGAGUACGAUCGCAAGAUUGAAACUCAAAGGAAUUGACGGGGGCCCGCACAAGCGGUGGAGCAUGUGGUUUAAUUCGAUGCAACGCGAGGAACCUUACCUGGGUUUGAACUGCCGCGGACCGGCUCAGAGAUGGGMCUUUCCCUUCGGGGACUGCGRUGGAGRUGCUGCAUGGMUGWCGUCAGCUCGUGCCGUGAGGUGUUGGGUUAAGUYCCGCAACRAGCGCAACCCUUUGUMCCUAGUUACCA